RNAcentral lists this ribosomal RNA (253 nucleotides) under uncultured bacterium. RNAcentral's name for it is "partial 16S ribosomal RNA". It matches the Rfam family "Bacterial small subunit ribosomal RNA", at positions 524 to 776 of the family's 1533-position model. The record is from RNAcentral.
UACGAAGGGUGCAAGCGUUAAUCGGAAUUACUGGGCGUAAAGCGUGCGUAGGCGGUUUCUUAAGUCCGUUGUGAAAACCCUGGGCUUAACCCAGGAACUGCGUUUGAAACUGGAAGGCUUGAGGACCGGAGAGGGUAGUGGAAUUCCCAGUGUAGCGGUGAAAUGCGUAGAUAUUGGGAGGAACACCAGUGGCGAAGGCGACUGCCUGGACGGCACCUGACGCUGAGGCGCGAAAGCUAGGGGAGCAAACGGG